GUUUAGUUGCUAACGCGUGAAGGCGAGCACUCUAGACGAACUGCCGUUGACAAAACGGAGGAAGGUGGGAUGACGUCAAAUCAUCAUGCCCCUUAUGUUCUGGGCUACACACGUGCUACAAUGGCCGGUACAGACGGACGCAAAGCCGCGAGGUGGAGCAAAUCCUAAAAAGCCGGUCUCAGUUCGGAUUGCAGGCUGCAAUUCGCCUGCAUGAAGUCGGAAUCGCUAGUAAUCGCAGGUCAGCAUACUGCGGUGAAUACGUUCCCGGGCCUU
This 273-nucleotide ribosomal RNA is filed under the name uncultured Bacillus sp. RNAcentral describes it as "partial 16S ribosomal RNA". It matches the Rfam family "Bacterial small subunit ribosomal RNA", at positions 1109 to 1382 of the family's 1533-position model. Lineage: Bacteria; Bacillati; Bacillota; Bacilli; Caryophanales; Bacillaceae. The record is from RNAcentral.